GAAGAAAUAGCAGACAUACAAGGACAUUUGGGGACACCCUGGGGACAGGGUGGAGCUGGCCCUGUGAGCCAGCGGGGCAUCAGGUGGAGGUGGCGCACCCAGGACCCCAGAGGGAGGGGCCCGAGCGCCAGAGCCAGCAGCGCUGCCAGGCUGAGGACCUGGGCUGUCCCCUCGCGCCCUCGCGCUGCACAGCCCAGCCUGCCGGGCCUUAUUCCCGUGUGCAGGGAGAGUCCCCCUCCGCCCCGACGACUCCUGGCCACUGCACCUGAACCAACAGGCCCCCAGGGUGGAGGACCGUCUCCUGCGCCCUGGACAGUGCUCAGGGAGGUGGGCUUGAAAGGGUCCCCCUUAUGCUGGCCUGGACUCCGGACAGCCCAGAGCCCCCUGGGUGCAGCCGCCGCUGCAAGCCGCCCGCCUCGCACCCCCGCCCAGGCCGAGCCGCCGCGCCCGUUACCUGUGCCGCUGCCCGCGUCGCCUGCGCCCGGCCGCUCCUCCACCGCUCCUUCGCCCGGCGGCUGCCGCCUUCCCACGCCGGCUGCCAGCAAGCGGCGCUGGGUUUUGUUUGCGAGCCUGGCCCCCGCGUGGCAAGCGUCCAUCUCCCCGCACAGCCGCCCCGCACCUCGCCCUCUCCGGCCGGGUGCCAGCGCGGAGGGAACUGGCACGGACGGAGCCGGCCAGCCUCCCGCAGCUGAGCGUAGCCACGCCGCCACUGCUGCUUUUUUUGUAUUUGAAACACACACGCACUCUCUCGCACACGCACACGCACGCACGCCAAGCCCCCCGCCCUGGCGACACGCAUCCCUUCUGUCAGGAGCAGCCCCAGCCAAGAAAGCCCGGCAGCGGGCGGGCGGCCGCGAGAGCCUUCCUCUCCUCGCCGCCUCCCUCCCACGCAGCCAGCGGGACUCAAGUCGCACUCGGGAGCCUUCUGAUUGGGUGCCCCUCGCUGCCCGCCACCCGCCGGCGGCCGCAUCCGGCCCUGGCCCUUCCCAGAGGGGCGCUUCUGGUGGAGCACCACUGCCCACUGGAUGGCUGGGGCCUGGCCUCCUGCAGCUGCCAGUGUGGCGGGCAGCCGGGCCACCCAGGGCCACCGUGGAAGGCAUGUGGUAG
RNAcentral lists this long non-coding RNA (1107 nucleotides) under Canis lupus familiaris (dog). RNAcentral describes it as "lncRNA (ENSCAFG00845002758.1)". Lineage: Eukaryota; Metazoa; Chordata; Mammalia; Carnivora; Canidae. The record is from RNAcentral.